This is a long non-coding RNA of Solenopsis invicta (red fire ant), 2844 nucleotides long. RefSeq lists it as uncharacterized. The transcript has 6 exons. The record is from RefSeq and is a predicted model, not a curated record. NCBI's taxonomy places the organism in Eukaryota, Metazoa, Arthropoda, Insecta, Hymenoptera, Formicidae.
AGAUGAGCUAGACUGUUACAAUUGCUUUUAAAAAAAUCAACGGAUUUUUAUGUUUAUGGGAUUUAAAUGCUUCGAAUAAUACGAAGGCAUACGAAUAAUUACAAACAACAUGAAACAAUUUCUUGGUUCGCAACUUAAUAAUUUUUAUUCUUUUGCAGAAGACGGCUGAUUUGGAAUUCACAUUAGCGAAUUAGCGGAAGUCGAUCGUCGUAUAAAGUUGCUCGCCUUCUUAAUUACCACUCCCACUUUGCAACGAGAUGACAUCAGCGAGCCUCGAGUUCUAUCCUUGAUAUCGCGUGGGCAGGUACGAGACGCGUUACUACCAAGCACCUAGGAAGAAAUGACGCCGACAAGAGCAACAGUGACAUACAACGUGGGGUAAUGGCCCUGCAUUUCCUCGACGCCUUCGUGCGUGCAGAGCGACCUCGACUUCCGCGUUCUGCCGGCCGCGGCCGCCAUCGGAGGAAUCGCGUCCCCCGGAAGAUGUAAUUAUCAAUCGACCAGAGGAAGGAAAUUUACGGUUGUCUGCCGCGCCGGAGGAGGAAGAGCGCGUGUUACGCGCGAUGCAAGAUGCAAUCUCCUGCAGCGAGAGAUACGACACGCGAACGAGCACGCACGAGCGGGUUCGUAAUAAGACGAGAAGCAGUGCUCGGUAAGAAUACGAAGAUACGAUGCUGAUGGGCACGAGGAUAAUGCGCAUAACAGCAUACUUUUUUGAGCUAAAGGUUUCUUUUCUACUUUAAAUAUGUUUUCUUCUCUGUGAUAACUUGGAUUUUACUUGAUCACGUUGUAUUACGUCAUAAAACUGGCAAGGAAUUCUUUUGUUUAAUAUUAAAUAUUAUAGCGCUUAUAAGGCUGAUCCAUAAUUGAAAGACUCGAUUAUGAUUUCGCAAUUCUUAUUUAACACGAACAUUGAAUGAUGCACACGUUAAUGAGAGCGCAUUAUCUCGAAACUCAGUUUCUCCGACUUCGCGUAUUAUACUUGGAGUAAUGCGGAAAACUACGAAGUGCGAAAACCGUAACGACGAUAAACCGCGUGCGUAUCAAUGUUCUGUCGAGAAGAUUGCGACACGUACGGAGAACCUCAAACAGAGGUGACCGUUACUGCCAGCCAAGUAUAAAAUGAUACCGAGAGAUUGAAUGAUGACUGCGGUCGCAGCUGUGCAACGAGAAAGGAACCAAGUGCAAUUCUCGUGCAACAAACUGUUUGGAAAUUAACGCUUACGAAAGAUCGUCAUAGACUCAUCGCUGUCCAAUGUUUAAUUAUUGCGGUUUUAUGGCUACUGCAAUUUUAUUUUCAUGACAAGUUGUUACAACUCUGUUACAAAUAUUUUUACAAAAAGCAAUCACAUUAAGAAUUUAUGUGGAAUUUGAAUGUACGCAUCGGACAGAAAUCCAAGUAACACUUCUUUAAGCAAAUAAGAAAAUGUUGAUAAAUUAUAGAUUACGUCUUCGAUAAACGAUACUGGACAUUAAUAAAGAAACGAAAUUUUAUAUUAAAAUUAUUAAAUAUUCUAAUUUACUAUUUAAUUUCUGCAAAUCAUACCAAGCUUAAUUUACCGCAGAAUUUUCUAUAUCCUUGUUUCUGUGAAGAUGGCCAAAUUGAAGGAAAGAGGAGCGCAAGUGGGACAAGUAGCAGGAAUGAGCGAAAGAGGAAACCAGAAGCGAGGAAAGAGUAAGAGAGAAAGAAAAAAACCGUUACACCCCUCUUCCUCUGGUCUCCGUUACGUUACGCGGUUGGAAUCCUGACACUGCGUGACCAAGUGAUGCCAGGAUGAAUGACGAAGAAAAGGAAUAUUCUGGUGCGUGCAUAUCUUCCUGCAGAUCUUCACUUUCAUCAGCACGUUUCGCAAAGGACAUUUUUUUUUAAAUUAUCAACGCUCGUAAAUGAGCCUAGAAACGAAGGUAGUAACUCACGUACUUUUUACUUCCUCGUAGCGUGUAAUAACGAUUUUGCGUAUACGCUUUGUGUGAUUUGUUCGCGAGUAUGGAACCUUCGGUUCAUGUCGUUCGAAUAACUGGGAAAUUCCGACGAUCCCCGGAAUCGUUUGUCCCCAUAAUUGACGGAAGUCACGCAGCACGCGUGCAUGGAGGAUUGCCGUCGAAAAAUUCGCGCCCACGAAGCUUUUCCUGUUCCUCGAACUUGACACCGGUUCCUUGAAACCAGGACUUCGCCAGACCGCAAACAAACUACUGGAACUGGUUUCUGCGCGACGAGUAACGAAAAGGACGAUAAAAAUUCGGAUUUAAGUGGUUUCGCCAGACUGCUCAAUUAUCCGUAACAAUACGUUGGCAUUUUUGAGAACGCGUCCUUCAAAUCCCGAAAAUUCGAACACGCAAUGCAAAUUAAUAUAAAAUGUAUAACGUUACUAAAUUAUAUAUUAUAAUGUAAAAAAUGUUACACAUCAAAAUAUUUAAACAUGUAAAUAUCCGAAUUGUUUCCUCUAUUUUUCGAAAUUGUCGAAGUUGUAUUGUUAAUUUUAAUGUGACGUAUAAAUAUUAUUGAAACCAGAUAACCGAUACAGGUUUUAGUGCCGUCGCUGCAUCACCGUUCUGUAGGCACUGAACAAAAGAAGAAGCACGAUUAUACCGUUGCCCCAAGAAAUGAUCGAAGAACAAGACGACAUCCUCAAUCGACGACCUCGAUCCCUCGAUUUGCAUGAACGUCGAUUUGCAAUCAUACUCUGGUCCAAUGUUUGAUUUAAAUCCCUCCUUUUCUAUUUGUACUGUUUUCUUCUUAUAAAUUUAUAAACUCUAAAGUGUUUUCUCCAGUGUACUCAACUAAAGAUAAUAAUUGUUACGCAAAGCGUGCUAGAAUGGAAUAAAAACUGAAGAUCAUAGGUC